UUUUAUUUACCAGCCCAAAGCUAACUGACCAGAAAAUAUGAGUCACUAGUAAAGUUAAAUAUUGCAUUUGAUAGAAUCUAUGAGUUGAAGUUUUUAAGAAAAAUGUAAUGUCAUUGAAAGUUAUAAAAUAAGUAUUGAUAUAGUCGGUGGAUGGUUACAAUUUGCAAUUUUGCAUAGACCUUGCUUUUUCAAAUGUUUUUAUUCUAUCUUGUAAUUUAUUUGAAAAUCAUUAAAAAUCUAUAUUUAUAACAUAAUGUUAAUGAAAGAAUCCCGAUAUGCAUUUAACCAACAACAUAUGUAUUAGGGUUUAUAAUAAAGUUUACAAGCAUGUUGUAAAUCAUAAUGUCUCAUAAAAUACAUUUUUCACCUUUGUCUAGAGGGAAGUACUACAGGUUAUUGUACAAGAGGUCAAUAAAACCGACUUGAAUAAGGCAAUGCAUGGAGAAGUGUUUGAAGCUUUUUGCCAGAUACUGGAGUCUUUGCUUCCUGACAAAAAUCUUCUUCUCAAGAACCAAUUAACCAGAAAAGCUGUUACUUGCUGGGAAUCAUCCUCAGACCUCUGGAAUCAAAGCUCUGACGUCACCUACUGCAACGGACUUCAUUUUAUCUGUGAGAGGACGUUUCGCCCAAAAGUCACCCUCCUCUUUACUAUACUGUGCCUGAAAG
Magallana angulata is the source of this 666-nucleotide long non-coding RNA. RefSeq lists it as uncharacterized. The record is from RefSeq and is a predicted model, not a curated record. Lineage: Eukaryota; Metazoa; Mollusca; Bivalvia; Ostreida; Ostreidae. The transcript is spliced from 3 exons.